Molecule: long non-coding RNA, 627 nt
Filed under: Lynx pardinus (Iberian lynx)
Lineage: Eukaryota; Metazoa; Chordata; Mammalia; Carnivora; Felidae
Source: RNAcentral
CUCAGCGCUGAUUAUCAUUAAUGUCACAGAACCUACCCAGAUAGUAUGAUAGUAGCCAGUAUGGAGUUGUUGAAGUUUAUUGACAUAAAAAUUAACCAAAACUCUUUUCUUCUUGACACGCCCAGUUCUGGUGAUGACUUCACUUCUAACAGAAGUCAUCCCUUAAACACAAAUACGUAAUAGAACAGAUCUCAGUAAGGAGCUUAUUUUUCUAACUGAACUGAAAUUUCUUAUUAAUGCUCCUAAUUUCCCAAUUGUGUACUUACGGCAGGGUGAAUAUGGCUCCAGAGGCUAGAUCAGAUAAGUUCCUUGGGCUCUGUGUAAUGAUUAUUAGCCUCUUUGAGGGAAGUGUGUCUGUUCUUGGGGCUAAACCACACCAAGCCAUCCCCAUCUUUGAAAAUCUAUUUGAAAAUGUCCAUAUCCUCUUUUAUUCAAGAUUUUGAUUUCGUCUCUCCAAAUCAGACUUCUCCAUGUGUGGGAAUCUACGUAGUCCCAAGACUUUUGCUAAUAAAGUAUUUUCAGUUUUAUCCUAAGUACAAGAAUAUAUGUCAUUAUGGAAUUUAUCAGGAAAUAUUUGGCAAAAAAGGAAAGAAAAGAAUGUUAACUAUUUAGGUAGUUUUUAUUAGA